GUCGCGUCAGGCAAAGCGGAUGCGAUCGCUUUCGGCCGUCACUUUAUUUCCAAUCCGGAUCUGCCAUCCCGGCUCAAGCGCAAGUCGCCGCUCACGCCCUACAAUCGGGCCACGUUCUAUGGCGGGGCUGAGGCGGGAUACACCGNNNNNNNAGAGCGCGUGAAGCGCGGUGACACUUACGGAUCGAGUUCGGUGUCCCAGUAGAGAUAGUCGAGCCAGCUCUGGUGCAGGUAGUUCGGCGGGAAUAGCCGGCCGUUGCGAUGAAGCU
RNAcentral lists this unclassified non-coding RNA (268 nucleotides) under Hevea brasiliensis (rubber tree). The record is from RNAcentral. Lineage: Eukaryota; Viridiplantae; Streptophyta; Magnoliopsida; Malpighiales; Euphorbiaceae.